RNAcentral lists this long non-coding RNA (244 nucleotides) under Elaeis guineensis (African oil palm). Its description in RNAcentral is "long non-coding RNA (EGUI_LNC021246)". The record is from RNAcentral. Lineage: Eukaryota; Viridiplantae; Streptophyta; Magnoliopsida; Arecales; Arecaceae.
CAUAUUUUAAUUUAUUUUAGUGGCUAUUUUUAAGCUUCUAAUAGCAAGAGUAUUAAUUAUAGACAUUUUUAAGCUAAUAAAUGUGAAGAUUUUAUAGAGAGACUAAAGUUUUUUAAAUCUUUUGAAAGAAGAGAAGUUCAUUGAGUUAUUCUUCUCAAGCAUAUUAUGAGGAACUCAAAGAAAAAAAAAGAAAGAAUUAAGGAGUGUCAUAAAUUCAACCCUUUUUACAUUCAAUUAGUCUGAA